This 254-nucleotide ribosomal RNA is filed under the name uncultured bacterium. RNAcentral's name for it is "partial 16S ribosomal RNA". It matches the Rfam family "Bacterial small subunit ribosomal RNA", at positions 524 to 776 of the family's 1533-position model. The record is from RNAcentral.
UACAGAGGUGGCAAGCGUUGUUCGGAUUUAUUGGGCGUAAAGGGUGCGUAGGCGGUCAGCACAAGUCAGUUGUGAAAUCUCCGGGCUUAACUCGGAAAGGUCAACUGAUACUGUGCGACUAGAGUGCGGAAGGGGCAACUGGAAUUCUCGGUGUAGCGGUGAAAUGCGUAGAUAUCGAGAGGAACACCUGCGGCGAAGGCGGGUUGCUGGGCCGACACUGACGCUGAUGCGCGAAAGCCAGGGGAGCGAACGGG